This 119-nucleotide unclassified non-coding RNA is filed under the name uncultured Helotiales. RNAcentral describes it as "sequence contains ITS2". The record is from RNAcentral. Lineage: Eukaryota; Fungi; Ascomycota; Leotiomycetes; Helotiales.
CACCUUCUAUCAAGGUAUUGGGAGAUGCACUCGCACUCCUUAAAAACAGUGGUGAUAACUGUCUACUCACGCAUAGUAAUCUCUGCGACGGAUACACAGUGACCGCACCUUAAUUCUUU